Molecule: ribosomal RNA, 402 nt
Filed under: uncultured bacterium
Lineage: Bacteria
Description: bacterial SSU rRNA
Rfam family: Bacterial small subunit ribosomal RNA
Source: RNAcentral
UCGGGAAUUUUGGGCAAUGGGCGAAAGCCUGACCCAGCAACGCCGCGUGAGGGAUGAAGUAUUUCGGUAUGUAAACCUCGAAAGAAUGGGAAGAAUAAAUGACGGUACCAUUUAUAAGCUCCGGCUAACUACGUGCCAGCAGCCGCGGUAAUACGUAGGGAGCAAGCGUUGUUCGGAUUUACUGGGCGUAAAGGGCGCGUAGGCGGCGCGGUAAGUCACUUGUGAAAUCUCUGAGCUUAACUCAGAACGGCCAAGUGAUACUGCUGUGCUAGAGUGCGGAAGAGGCAACCGCAAUUCUUGGUGUAGCGGUGAAAUGCGUAGAUAUCAAGAGGAACACCUGAGGCGAAGGCGGGUUGCUGGGCCGACACUGACGCUGAUGCGCGAAAGCCAGGGGAGCAAACG